Molecule: RNA transcript, 2221 nt
Organism: Helianthus annuus (common sunflower)
Lineage: Eukaryota; Viridiplantae; Streptophyta; Magnoliopsida; Asterales; Asteraceae
Exons: 13
Source: RefSeq, a predicted model, not a curated record
GCCACUUUACAACCAUUUGAAGCCCAUUGUACAACCUUUAAAGCAUGAAAGUGUUGAAAACUUCUUUUCAACACAUGCUGUAUAACUGGGCGGCAAAACAAUUUUUGGGCGGCCAGAGCUGGAUUCAAUUUUUGAAUCCGUUUAUUCAUCCCCCAUCCCAAGACACUUUUUCUGUUCCUAUUGUUUCUUCUUCCAAGAGAAACCCUAAAACACAAACCCUCCCAACCAUCUUCUCCACCGAUUCUAUUCCUAUCCUUUCUUGAGAAACCCUAAAACACAAACCCUUGCAUCCAUCUUCUCCACCGAUGACACCACCAGCGACCGUCGAAACCUUCUUCUUCUCUUAAAGAGCCGAUGAUCUUGGCAAAAUCAUGGCUGGUUCUCCUUAACAUACCCUCUGUUAGCCUUUACUGAUGCCAGAGAGUAGUCCAUUGAUGAUGAUGAGUUCUUCGGGUUUCUUUCUUCGGCGAUUCCGACAUCAGAUCUACUGGGUUCAACUUCUCGAUGGUGUGGUGUCUGAUGCGGUGUCUGAUGCGAGCAAAAAGAAGAAGGCAGUCGCCUCAGCCAAGAGAGGAGUACAAGCUUUGAUGAACAUAAAGAAUGGUCUAGAUGAUCCACAUAGUGUCUUGAAUUGGGAUGCAGAUGCUGUUGAUCCAUGUAGUUGGACUAUGAUCACUUUUUCUCCAGAUAAAUUUAUCAUUGGCUGUCGUUUCGCGUUGGUCCAGAGCAAGAACAAGGGCUGCCAAGGUAAACAUACAAACUUUAUAUCAAAAAGAAUAAAAUGUCAUUUUUGUCCCUGGGGUUUGACCACUUUUGUGACUUUCGUCCCUGAGGUGGCAUUUUCACCCUUGAGGGCCAAAUUUCGAGAGUCGACAGUCGCAAUAAAUUGCUAAACUCAAGGCAGAAAACGGCAAUAAAACGCAAACCCGAGGUCAGAUUUUGCUAUCAAAUUUCGAGCGACGAUUCAGAAACACGAAGCGUUUGAUGAAGAUAUCACCAGAUUGGUUCAGAUUUUGCUAUCUUCGGCUGCUAUUGAUGGUGGUUGUCUGGUUAAGUUGGCCAUUCCGACCACUCGACAACCCUAAGGGUUUUCUUUCACUAAACGGCGAUGUAUUUUCCGGCAUAGUGACACAAGAUCGAUUCGACUUCUCGAUCUUUGAAAUUUUAGGGUUUCUUUCUCCAGCGAUUCCGACAUCAGAUCUACUGGGUUCAACUUCUCGAAAAUUGCCGGAUUAUUGAUGUUAUGCUAGAUUUGUAGUUGGUAUGAUGAUUAAAUCUCGACUAGGAUUCGCAUUUUUGAAGAUGAUUCUUUACAGAUUGAACCGGAAAGGGUUUCCACUUUUGGUUAGUGGCGUUCCCCCUGAUGCAUUUAGUGAAACUGGUCAACUAUGGGACAGCCCACUGUAUGACUGGAAAGCAGUGGAAGAAGAUCGAUUUUCAUGGUGGGUACGCCAUUUAAAACGUGCACAGGAUCUAUUUGACGAGUUCAGAACAGAUCACUUUCGGGGAUUUUCUGGCUUUUGGGUUGUUCCUUCUGAAGCAAAAAGUGCGACUAGGCUAGAUGGAAGGUGCUGGUGGUGUUUUUGUUGAUGCUGCUGUAGCUGGCGCUGCACCAGCAUCCGCUGCACCAGCAAUGGUCAAACCGUUGAACAUGAGCGAGGUAUUGGAUGCAAGCAAAGAGAAGAUGUUUGCAAGUAUCGUUCCCGACAGCAGUGCAAAGGUGCUUUCACGGUACACUGAAAUGGUCGAUGACAUCAUCAGAACUCAAGCGGAAAAACUGCAACAAAGGAGCGAGCUGGCUCUGGGUGUGUCUCAAGGAAAUGGACUUGCCAGGUUCGAUUCGUGUAUUGGAAGGACACUCUGUCUUGCCAACAACUUUAUGGGAAGAUGUGGAAGCGGUUCAAGUUAGUGGCGGUCCAGCUGGGUUGGAAAGUGAGCUUCAACCACUUCGGGAUUUGAGUAGGGUUAACCAUGAGUUGUUCAGAUGUGGAAAACAAACCUUUGGACGAAAGUCGCGAAACUCGCCAAACCUUAGGGACGAAAAUUGCAUUGUACUCUUUAUAUAUAUUUGUUCUGAAUAUAGAUCUUAUGUUAUUGUAUAUUCCGUUACAUGCAGCGGCUUGUGAAAAGUGUUAUAAGCAGAUAGAAGUUGCCAUAGCCAGGUACCGAGAAAUCAAAGAUAAGAUCAAUGAAGGACUCAAGUUUUAUGUUACUCUUCAGG